GGGUAGAGCUCAGUGGUAGAGCACAUGCUUAGCAUGCAUGAGGUCCUGGGUUCCAUACCCAGUACCGCCA
Molecule: transfer RNA, 70 nt
Filed under: Camelus bactrianus (Bactrian camel)
Lineage: Eukaryota; Metazoa; Chordata; Mammalia; Artiodactyla; Camelidae
Also listed under: 2 other names
Rfam family: tRNA
About the family: Transfer RNA (tRNA) molecules are approximately 80 nucleotides in length.
Source: Rfam by way of RNAcentral